This is a long non-coding RNA of Nerophis ophidion (straightnose pipefish), 501 nucleotides long. RefSeq lists it as uncharacterized. The transcript has 5 exons. The record is from RefSeq and is a predicted model, not a curated record. Lineage: Eukaryota; Metazoa; Chordata; Actinopteri; Syngnathiformes; Syngnathidae.
CUACAACUAGUAAAGGCACAUUGUUUGGAUUUUUCACCGGGAAACAAGACAAUACUGUCGGGAUGCAACGAUAAACGUUUGGCUGUCCCGAUGGAGGUCCAACAUGCAAUAAUCCGCUCGGGUCCGAGUCCCGGCCCGAGUCCUGGGACUUUGUAGGGGGAGGCGGCUUUCAUCUCAAUGUGCUGCCGUUGGCGUACGACAAGGGAAAGCCUUCCAAGCGUGACAAAAGCCAAACCUCAAAGAGCGCGUGGUCACAUGACCGCUAGGAGUCUGUAAAUGUCCCGUGCGCGACACGGACCACCAGGGAGCUGUCACGGUUUGGACCGCAGCUUCGUUCUCCCGAAAUGCAGACGGACGACUCUGGACGAAAGCGUGAGACAAUCGGACAAUGUAUUGGAAAGCUCCAUUCCCAACUUCCUGGAUGUGAAUUGCUACCGGCAAUCAAGCCAGCUGAUUGUGAAAGAAUACAAGAUGGCUACCAGAGAGUCUGUUGCACAGAGG